Molecule: ribosomal RNA, 403 nt
Filed under: uncultured bacterium
Lineage: Bacteria
Description: bacterial SSU rRNA
Rfam family: Bacterial small subunit ribosomal RNA
Source: RNAcentral
UGAGGAAUAUUGCACAAUGGGCGAAAGCCUGAUGCAGCAACGCCGCGUGGGGGACGAAGGCCUUCGGGUCGUAAACCUCUUUUCUGGGGGACGAGUAAGGACGGUACUCCAGGAAUAAGUCUCGGCUAACUACGUGCCAGCAGCCGCGGUAAAACGUGGGAGGCGAGCGUUAUCCGGAUUUACUGGGCGUAAAGCGUACGCAGGUGGCUUCGUUAGUCGGACAUGAAAGCUCCUGGCUUAACUGGGAGAGGUUGUUCGAUACUGCGGGGCUUGAGGUUGGGAGAGGGACGUGGAAUUCCCGGUGUAGUGGUGAAUGCGUAGAUAUCGGGAGGAACACCAGUGGCGCAAGCGGCGUCCUGGCCCACACCUGACGCUGAGGUACGAAAGCGUGGGUAGCAAACAG